AAAUUGAAGAGUUUGAUCAUGGCUCAGAUUGAACGCUGGCGGCAGGCCUAACACAUGCAAGUCGAACGGUAACAGGAAGCAGCUUGCUGCUUUGCUGACGAGUGGCGGACGGGUGAGUAAUGUCUGGGAAACUGCCCGAUGGAGGGGGAUAACUACUGGAAACGGUGGCUAAUACCGCAUAA
This 182-nucleotide ribosomal RNA is filed under the name Salmonella enterica. RNAcentral's name for it is "partial 16S ribosomal RNA". It matches the Rfam family "Bacterial small subunit ribosomal RNA", at positions 1 to 176 of the family's 1533-position model. Lineage: Bacteria; Pseudomonadati; Pseudomonadota; Gammaproteobacteria; Enterobacterales; Enterobacteriaceae. The record is from RNAcentral. RNAcentral also lists the same sequence under 3 other names.